GUUCCUGUUGUGCAAUGAAUAGCACCUUGGAGCUCUAAUCCAAAGGUGGUGGAUUCGAAUCCCACCUGGGAUG
Molecule: non-coding RNA, 73 nt
Organism: Trichonephila clavipes
Lineage: Eukaryota; Metazoa; Arthropoda; Arachnida; Araneae; Nephilidae
Source: the annotation of a GenBank genome assembly